Molecule: ribosomal RNA, 524 nt
Filed under: uncultured bacterium
Lineage: Bacteria
Description: partial 16S ribosomal RNA
Rfam family: Bacterial small subunit ribosomal RNA
Source: RNAcentral
GACGAACGCUGGCGGCGUGCCUAAUACAUGCAAGUCGAACGAAGCUGUUUUAACUGGUGCUUGCACCGACUUAAACAACUGAGUGGCGAACGGGUGAGUAACACGUGGGUAACCUGCCCCAAAGCGGGGGAUAACAUUUGGAGACAGACGCUAAUACCGCAUAACCACAGAAACCACAUGGUUUCUGUGCCAAAGAUGGUUUCGGCUAUCACUUUGGGAUGGACCCGCGGCGUAUUAGCUAGUUGGUAAGGUAAUGGCUUACCAAGGCAAUGAUACGUAGCCGAACUGAGAGGUUGAUCGGCCGCAUUGGGACUGAGACACGGCCCAAACUCCUACGGGAGGCAGCAGUAGGGAAUCUUCCACAAUGGACGAAAGUCUGAUGGAGCAACGCCGCGUGAGUGAAGAAGGUUUUCGGAUCGUAAAACUCUGUUGUCAGAGAAGAACGUGUGCGAGAGUAACUGUUCGUGCAGUGACGGUAUCUGGCCAGAAAGCCACGGCUAACUACGUGCCAGCCGCCGCCGUAA